GAGUUUGAUCAUGGCUCAGGACGAACGCUGGCGGCGUGCCUAAUACAUGCAAGUCGAACGAGGUGCUCCUCGGUGGCAACACCUUGGGGUUACCUAGUGGCGAACGGGUGAGUAACACGUGAGGAACCUGCCCCGAAGACCGGGAGUAACCAGAGGAAACCCUACGGCUAAUACCGGAUGCCCCCACCCGGAUCGCAUGGUCUGGUGAGGAAUAGGAUUCCGCUUCGGGAGGGCCUCGCGGCCUAUCAGCUUGUUGGUGGGGUAACGGCCUACCAAGGCGUCGACGGGUAGCUGGUCUGAGAGGACGAUCAGCCACACUGGGACUGAGACACGGCCCAGACUCCUACGGGAGGCAGCAGUAGGGAAUCUUGCGCAAUGGGCGAAAGCCUGACGCAGCAACGCCGCGUGCGGGAUGAAGGCC
Molecule: ribosomal RNA, 421 nt
Filed under: uncultured Actinomycetes bacterium
Lineage: Bacteria; Bacillati; Actinomycetota; Actinomycetes
Description: bacterial SSU rRNA
Rfam family: Bacterial small subunit ribosomal RNA
Source: RNAcentral